RNAcentral lists this ribosomal RNA (267 nucleotides) under uncultured bacterium. RNAcentral describes it as "partial 16S ribosomal RNA". The record is from RNAcentral.
CUGCUGCCUUCCGUAGGAGUUUGGGCCGUGUCUCAGUCCCAAUGUGGCCGUUCACCCUCUCAGGCCGGCUACUGAUCGUCGCUUUGGUGGGCCGUUACCCCGCCAACUGGCUAAUCAGACGCGGAUCCAUCGUAUACCACCGGAGUUUUUCACACUGUUCCAUGCGGAACCGUGCGCUUAUGCGGUAUUAGCACCUAUUUCUAAGUGUUAUCCCCCUGUAUACGGCAGGUUAUCCACGCGUUACUCACCCGUCCGCCACUAACCCAA